UUAUAAUAAUUUUUUCAAUAAAAAAAUUUAUAAAAAUUUCUAGAUGUCGGACAACUUAAUUGUCAUCUGAUAAUGACAAUAAUAACAAUAAUGACGGGAGUGAUGGAAAAAGUUUUGGACCCUAAUUAUUUGAAAAACUAAAUUAUAAAUGUAUACGGAGAUCAGAAGAAAUUAUUGGCAAGUUUCUGAUAAUUUGGAAUUAUGAUUGCUUGCAAAAAUUCAUGAAACAAUAUUGUUUCAAAGGCACGAUACCUUAGAGUUAGUAUCAAUGUAACGGACGUGCGUUUCAUCAAUUCCCAGUGUUUGAAAACGUUUCAGUUGUCAAAUUAUUGAGUUGCUGCGAGACGGAAAGUCGAUACUUAUCAAGUCCACUGAAUUUAUGGGUAAAUGAUUUUUACAUUAUUAUUUUUUUUUUUAAUUCAACCAAUCAGCAGCCUAGAACUUUUUUCAUUUUUUUUCACUUGUCAUAGAUACACUUUCUGUCUGAA
Cotesia glomerata is the source of this 488-nucleotide long non-coding RNA. RefSeq lists it as uncharacterized. NCBI's taxonomy places the organism in Eukaryota, Metazoa, Arthropoda, Insecta, Hymenoptera, Braconidae. The record is from RefSeq and is a predicted model, not a curated record. The transcript is spliced from 3 exons.